UAAUACAGAUACACUCAUCGC
Molecule: non-coding RNA, 21 nt
Filed under: Caenorhabditis elegans
Lineage: Eukaryota; Metazoa; Nematoda; Chromadorea; Rhabditida; Rhabditidae
Source: RNAcentral